Molecule: ribosomal RNA, 900 nt
Filed under: uncultured archaeon
Lineage: Archaea
Description: bacterial SSU rRNA
Rfam family: Archaeal small subunit ribosomal RNA
Source: RNAcentral
CGGUUGAUCCUGCCGGACCCCACUGCUAUCGGGAUAGGACUAAGACAUGCUAGUCGAGCGCCUCCCAGCCACGACGGAGGCGCGGCGCACAGCUCAGUAACACGUGGCUAACCUGCCCUCGGGACGGGAAUACCCCCGGGAAACUGGGGCUAAUCCUCGAUAGGUGAAGAACUCUGGAAUGAGUCUCCGCCCAAAAGACGCUUAAAUCAUGCUUUUAGGCGCCGCCCAAGGAUGGGGCCGCGACCGAUCAGGUAGUUGGUGAGGCAACGGCUCACCAAGCCUUUAACCGGUGCGGGCCGUGGGAGCGGGAGCCCGGAGAUGGGCACUGAGACAAGGGCCCAGGCCCUACGGGGCGCAGCAGUCGCGAAAACUUUGCAAUACACGAAAGUGUGACAGGGCUAUCCCGAGUACCAUCCGCUGAGGAAGGCUUUUACCCAGUCUAGAAAGCUGGGAGAAUAAGGAGAGGGCAAGUCUGGUGUCAGCCGCCGCGGUAAUACCAGCUCUCCGAGUGGUGUGGAUGUUUAUUGGGCCUAAAGCAUCCGUAGCUGGCCAAGUUAGUCCCCUGUUAAACCCACCGAAUUAAUCGUUGGAGUGCGGGGGAUACUGCUCGGCUAGGGGACGAGAGAGGCCGACGGUAUUUCCGGGGUAGGGGUGAAAUCCUAUAAUCCCGGGAGGACCACCAGUGGCGAAGGCUGUCGGCUAGAACGCGCCCGACGGUGAGGGAUGAAAGCUGGGGGAGCGAACCGGAUUAGAUACCCGGGUAGUCCCAGCUGUAAACGAUGCAGGCUAGGUGUUUGGGCGGCCACGGGCCGCUCUAGUGCCGCAGGGAAGCCGUUAAGCCUGCCGCCUGGGGAGUACGGUCGCAAGGCUGAAACUUAAAGGAAUUGGCGGGAAGGGCGA